Molecule: ribosomal RNA, 468 nt
Filed under: uncultured bacterium
Lineage: Bacteria
Description: partial 16S ribosomal RNA
Rfam family: Bacterial small subunit ribosomal RNA
Source: RNAcentral
GACGAACGCUGGCGGCGUGCUUAACACAUGCAAGUCGAACGGAAAGGCCCUGCUUUUGUGGGGUGCUCGAGUGGCGAACGGGUGAGUAACACGUGAGUAACCUGCCCUUGACUUUGGGAUAACUUCAGGAAACUGGGGCUAAUACCGGAUAGGAGCUCCUGCUGCAUGGUGGGGGUUGGAAAGAUUCGGCGGUUGGGGAUGGACUCGCGGCUUAUCAGCUUGUUGGUGGGGUAGUGGCUUACCAAGGCUUUGACGGGUAGCCGGCCUGAGAGGGUGACCGGCCACAUUGGGACUGAGAUACGGCCCAGGCUCCUACGGGAGGCAGCAGUGGGGAAUAUUGCACAAUGGGCGGAAGCCUAAUGCAGCGACGCCGCGUGCGGGAUGACGGCCUUCGGGUUGUAAACCGAUUUCGCCUGUGACGUGGCGUGAGUGACGGUAAUGGGUAAAGAAGCACCGGCUAACUACGUG